Molecule: long non-coding RNA, 650 nt
Filed under: Astyanax mexicanus (Mexican tetra)
Lineage: Eukaryota; Metazoa; Chordata; Actinopteri; Characiformes; Acestrorhamphidae
Description: lncRNA (ENSAMXG00005024154.1)
Source: RNAcentral
CUUAUCCAACAGACUCACAGCACUGAACUCAUUUGAUUGAAGCUUUAAAACUGGUAUCCCCUUCAUAAAAUGAUAAGUAAGAGCACACAAAUGAAUGAGUGGAUGUGUUAAAUUUAGGUCUUACAACCACAGACACGGCUUCUUUUCUCUGGAAGGCAGUGGAUAUAAGGCUUUUUUCUCUGAGGGGCUCAGAGUUCCACGUGCUUCUCAGAAAGCUGUUACGUAAGUCUGUCCUCAUCCUCUGGACCGAUCAAAUCUACACUCCACCGGAGAUAGCAACUGCUUAGUCUACAGGAGCUUGAUUAGGAUGCCUCAAAGUCUUUCUAAUAACUUUGAUUCAAAUUACCUCUGCUUCUCCUAUUAAAUAUUUUCUGCAUGUUCUAAUGUUUUCCGGCCUCAACGACAAGAGCAGAAGCACUGACUGUGACUAGCAAGGUAAAAUACCCCUCACUUCCAUGAGCUAAAAAAUGUGAUUAAAAACCAGGGUUAUUCCACCAAAUAUUGAUUUCUGAACUCUUAAAACUUUAUGAAUAAGAACUUGUUUUCUUUGCAUUAUUUGAGGUCUGAAAGCUCUGCAUCUUUUUUUUUAUUUCUGCCAUUUCUCAUUUUCUGCAAAUAAAUGCUCUAAAUUACAAUAUUUUUAUUUGGAA